This is a long non-coding RNA of Manis pentadactyla (Chinese pangolin), 4462 nucleotides long. RefSeq lists it as uncharacterized. Lineage: Eukaryota; Metazoa; Chordata; Mammalia; Pholidota; Manidae. The transcript has 3 exons. The record is from RefSeq and is a predicted model, not a curated record.
CAUUGACACUGAGCAGGAAAGUCAGGAACAGUUUGCCUUCACGUGGGAGGGACGGCAAUGGACUUUCACCAUCCUCCCACAGGGAUACCUCCACAGCCCCACCAUCUGCCAUGGACUUGUAGCCCAGGACUUGGCUACUGCUGUACCAUUAUAUUGAUAAUGUCAUGCUCACAUACGAAAAUCUAGAAGGUGCAGCACCUAGACUGCUGCAACAUUUACAGGAGAAAGGAUGGGCUGUGAACAGCACCAAGGUUCAGGAACUUGGUUUGUCUGUUAAAUUCUUGGGGGUCAUCUGGUUGGGUAAGACCAAAGUUAUACCAGAAGCAGUUAUAGACAAAGUCCAGGCCUUUCCUACCCCUACAACUGUAACAUUGCUACAGGAAUUUCUGGGUCUUCUAGGCUACUGGAGUGUGUUUAUACCGCACUUGGCGCAAAUUCUGAAGCCCUUAUACCGGUUGGUACGAAAGGGCGUCAGGUGGGACUGGGAUGAGAAAUGUGCAUCUGCCUUUACUACAGCAGAACAGGCAGUCAGGGCCAUGCAGGCCUUGAGUGUGAUAGACCCAUCAAGGCCCUGUGAGUUGGAUGUUCAUGUCAGUGAAGAUGGUUAUGGCUGGGGUCUCUGGCAGUGGCUUGAAUGAACUCACCAACCUGUUGGAUUCUGGUCACAACUCUGGAAAGGGACAGAGGUUGUUUGAUUGAAAAACAACUGGCUGCUGUGUAUCACGCCUUGCUGGCUACAGAACCCAUCACCGGAAUGGCCCCGAUAAAGUGAAUUGGAAUGACUUCUGGGCACCUGUGGAUAUACCCAGCAAUCAGGAUGCUGCCCCUGCCCCUGCCCCAACCCUACCAGGGUCCUGGGCACGGGUCCUCUGCUGGAGAGCUUCAAGUACUUGCCUAUCCACAGGCUGAAACAGUUACCCAGCUGGAGGAAGGAUUCCCUUGGUCUGUAUUCCUUGACUCCAAUAUUUGUGGUUUAGUAAGAAGUCCCAAGAUCAGAGCACCCAUUCCAUGACCCUGAAGCAUAAGACGGGCCCAAGGAACAUUAACCUGACUGAUGUUAGACUGCAAGCCAAGUGUGCUGAAUUACACAUGCAGGGAGAGUCCAGUGAAGCCUAACAGGUAAGGGCAGGACUGCCUGGGUUAGAAUCUUAGCUCCUCAGUUGUGUAACAUUGGUCAAAUCACCUGACCUCUACUAUGACCUUGUUCCAUUUUCUCUGAAGUGGUGUCCAGCCUCAGGGCUGGGAUGAGUCAGCACAUGUACAGAGUGAUAGCAGUGUGUCUGACACAUAAUGAAGAGUCAGAAAGGUUGUUCAAGUUCCCCUCCUUGUAAAAUGAAAGAGUUGGACCAUCUGAGGUCUCAAUGUUAUACUGUAGGUCAGAUGCCGCCUGUGAGAGUUUUGUUUCACUUACGGGUUUUUUUUGAAGGCAAAUUAAAAUGCCCUUAGAUAAGGCUGAAAAGUUUCCCAUAGUCUCCAUCAGUCCCCGUUGAUGGCAUGUAGUCUUUUGUUUGUGUAUAUGUAGUCACCUGGAUGGCCUCUGCUAGCAUUUGUAUUUUUUGUUAUCUGGUGAUGGUCUCUAAGGCCCUUUCCAGGCCUACAUUUCUGUCCAACUCUAUCAAAAAGUGUCCCGUGCUAUGAAUACCCCUUGUGAUGAAAUGGAACCUCAUUUCUCCAUGCCAGCCUUUCUCUUCAUCCUUAGGCGGAAUACAGGUUUCUGGCUUUUCUCAUAUUACCCAAAGCACUGCACCCCAUCCCCACCCUGAACGCCACUUCCCAUCCACUUUCCCAGCUUGCUGCCCAGAGGCACCACCUGGACACGGGAGAUGUCCAUGGUCUUAUGAGCCUCUAAACCUUCCUCUCUGCCUGGCUAUCAGCUAUGCUGAAAGAACAACAUGUUAAAAAAAAACAAAAAAAAACAAAAAACUUUUUAAAUGGGAAAAUUUUCCUCUUUAAAUUAGCCCAGUGUCCAAAAAACCAAAACAAUGAGGCCUGGCUUUGUAGGUAGAUUAAUUUAGCCAGUUGGGCCUGGGACAUUCUGAAAACCAUCCUUUAGGGCAGUAGAAGAGUUACUGCAUCAGUCCUUGAGUACAGGAGGAUGUGGCCCACUGUGACCAGGAAAAGGCACACAUUUGAAGUACAAGCAUCUCUGGCUGGGUUUGUCUACAUAGAUGUGUUUUUAUACACUUAAAAGAUAGAAACUUAAUAUUGAUUGUUUAGUGUUUAAGUUAGAAGUGGUUGUGUUUUGCUGGCUGUGCAAAAUAAUAAACUUGGUCCCUGGUGACUUGAUUAUUUCACCACAAAUGAGCUACUUUUCAUGGCUCAGUGCCUGAGUCUGGCAGAGUUGGUGGGGGAACAGCAAGGUCCUGUGGUGGUAAUAAAGUUUCUCUUGGGGAUUUUACAUUGGGUUUCUCCUGGCUCAUAGUUGCUGGGCAGCUGAGUCUCAGGAGGUCUCUCCCUGUGCACUCAGUGAGACCUCGACCUCGGGGAAGAGGGUUCUUCACUCUGAAUGAGAAAGAAUUAUUGAACAGGUCGGGCAAAUGUAGGCAAGGAAGGAAUUCAUUAAAGAGAGUAGCAGCAAAUGGCAGGAGCUGUGCAGGCAGCAGAGAACAAGGAAGACCUGAGGGAGAAAAGGGAAGGUUAUUGAACUGCUCAGCAUAGGGCAGAUGCCUUGCCAACUCCUGAAGGUCACUUGGCGUCUAGUGUCCACUUGAAUUUGCAUGCUGUGGGAACUAAGCCCCUACCACCCAGGAUUGAGGGAGCCACAGAGCACUGGAUGGUGUGAGAUUAUGUUCUGAGAACUUUCCAAAGGCAAGGAAAGGAGGUUUUGGGGCAGGCUACUAAAGAGAGCAUGAUCCUGCAGCUGCAGUCCUGUCUGGGUCAUCCAGGCAAUGGGAUCUUGCAAGCCCAAAUGAGAGAUCUCAGUAGCCUUUCCUUACUUUUCUGAAGUAGGACAGAGAGAGUGAAGACUUGUACUUAAGUCUAGAAAAUUGAAUGAAAUAGUGAAGUAACAAAGACGGUUUCCACUGGAAGAGCGCAGGGACAAAACAGUAAGUUGAGCAGUGAGAAGUCUUUAUUCAAGGCCAAGUACACGCUCAAAGAAAGGGGAGUGCAGGCAACCUCAGAGAGGAGGUGCACUUAAGGGGUUAGGAUUCUGUCUUUUAAAGUUUUCAAGAAUGGGGCAAAGGUGGGGGAAGCUUGGGCUUGACGUGUGGUCCUUGUGAUGUCUAUCUCUGGUGAAAGAAAUUAUGUCACCAUCCAUAGUCUGUCCUCUAGAUAUUCUGUCAGAUAAACUUAACACAAAGAUUUUCUUGAUCCUGUUUGUUUCCAAGAUGGUGGUUACCCUCAAACAGUGGUGACAUAUCAUUUAGGACUACUUGCCCUGCCUUAAGAUAGGGUUGGUUGUCAGCUGAUUACCAUAAAAUAUGUUAGGAAUCUUAAUUCCUAACUCCUUGGUUUUUAAAAUGGGAUCUUAGCCUUUAGAUGGAGUCCCUCCUGUUCUUUUUUUUAAAUUAAGGUAUUAUUGAUAUACACUCUUAUGAAGGCUUCACAUGAAAAAACAAUGUGGUUACUACAUUUGCCCAUAUUACCAAGUCCCUACCCUUACCCCAAUGCAGUCGCUGUCCAUCAGUGUAGUAAGAUGCCACAGAUUCAUUAUUUGCCUUCUCUGUGCUACACUGUCUUCCCUAUGACCCCUCACAUCAUGUGUACUAAACAUAAUACCCCUCAAUCACCGUCUCCCUUCCUCCCCAAUCCUCCCCUUUGGUAACCACUAGUCCCCUCUAGGAGUCUGUGAGUCUGCUGCUGUUUUGUUCCUUCAGUUUUGCUUUGUUGUUAUACUCCACAAAUGAGGGAAAUCAUUUGGCACUUGUCCUCCUCCACCUGGCUUAUUUCAGUGAGCAUAAUAUCCUCCAGCUCCAUCCAUGUUUUUGCAAAUGGUAGGAUUUGUUUCUUAUGGCUGAAUAGUUUUCCAUUGUAUAUAUGUACCACAUCAUCUUUAUCCAUUCAUCUACUGAUGGACACUUAGGUUGCUUCCACUUCUUGGCUAUUGUAAGUAGUGCUGCGAUAAACAAAGGGGUGCAUCUGUCUUUUUGAGUCUGAGAAGUUGUAUUCUUUGGGUAAAUUCCAAGGAUUGGGAUUCCUGGGUCAAAUUGUAUUUCUAUUUUUAGUAUUUUGAGGAACCUCCAUAUUGCUUUCCACAAUGGUUGAACUAGCUUACAUCCCCACCAGCAGUGUAGAGGGUUUCCCUUUGUCCUCAUCCUCACCAGCAUUUAUUGUUCUUAGUUUUUUUGAUGCUGGCCAUCGUUACUGGUGUGAGGUGAUAUCUAAUUGUGGUUUUAAAUUGCAUUUCCCUUAUGAUUAGUGAUGUGGAACAUCUUUUCAUGAGUCUGUUGGCCAUCUGAAUUUCUUCUUUGGAGAACUGUCUCUUCAUAUCCUCCGCCCAUUUGUUAAUUGGGUUGUUUGA